RNAcentral lists this long non-coding RNA (404 nucleotides) under Anas platyrhynchos platyrhynchos (common mallard). Its description in RNAcentral is "lncRNA (ENSAPLG00000024521.1)". The record is from RNAcentral. Lineage: Eukaryota; Metazoa; Chordata; Aves; Anseriformes; Anatidae.
GCAGAGCCAGCUUCAGUUAGCUCCAGUUUCAGCAUAGCAGCUUGCUGAAGGCUAUGAAAGGGUCGUGUUUUUUCCUGUCUGCCGUAUCCAUGUCAGGGGCCUGGAGAGCCAACUGACUCUCCUGUCAGACAUGGGAAGAAUUCCUUAUGUCCCGGAGCUUCCUGUUUUUGUUUUUGUUUUUUUUUCCUAUUUUAUCUCCCAUUGGCAAAAAUGUGCUGGUCACAGGCUCAGAGCUACGCUUCGGGACCGGAAGAGAUCAUCUCUAGAUGGCUGCAACUUCACAAGGUGUCAAGAAUCAAAGCAUAUCCCUCAUCUUUUGGCAACUAAGGGUGGAGUUAAAGGUUUCCCAGCAGCUCUUGGAAAUGCUAUAGAGAACAGAAUGAUUACAUGAAUCAAAACAUCAG